GGUUAAGCGACUAAGCGUACACGGUGGAUGCCCUGGCAGUCAGAGGCGAUGAAGGGCGUGCUAAUCUGCGAUAAGCGCCGGUAAGGUGAUAUGAACCGUUAUAACCGGCGAUACCCGAAUGGGGAAACCCAGUGUGAUUCGUCACACUAUCAUUAACUGAAUCCAUAGGUUAAUGAGGCGAACCGGGGGAACUGAAACAUCUAAGUACCCCGAGGAAAAGAAAUCAACCGAGAUUCCCCCAGUAGCGGCGAGCGAACGGGGAGGAGCCCAGAGCCUGAAUCAGCAUGUGUGUUAGUGGAAGCGUCUGGAAAGGCGCGCGAUACAGGGUGACAGCCCCGUACACAAAAGCGCAUGUGCUGUGAGCUCGAUGAGUAGGGCGGGACACGUGGUAUCCUGUCUGAAUAUGGGGGGACCAUCCUCCAAGGCUAAAUACUCCUGACUGACCGAUAGUGAACCAGUACCGUGAGGGAAAGGCGAAAAGAACCCCGGCGAGGGGAGUGAAAAAGAACCUGAAACCGUGUACGUACAAGCAGUGGGAGCACAGGUUUACCUGUGUGACUGCGUACCUUUUGUAUAAUGGGUCAGCGACUUAUAUUCUGUAGCAAGGUUAACCGAAUAGGGGAGCCGUAGGGAAACCGAGUCUUAACCGGGCGUUAAGUUGCAGGGUAUAGACCCGAAACCCGGUGAUCUAGCCAUGGGCAGGUUGAAGGUUGGGUAACACUAACUGGAGGACCGAACCGACUAAUGUUGAAAAAUUAGCGGAUGACCUGUGGCUGGGGGUGAAAGGCCAAUCAAACCGGGAGAUAGCUGGUUCUCCCCGAAAGCUAUUUAGGUAGCGCCUCGUGAAUUCAUCUCCGGGGGUAGAGCACUGUUUCGGCUAGGGGGCCAUCCCGGCUUACCAACCCGAUGCAAACUGCGAAUACCGGAGAAUGUUAUCACGGGAGACACACGGCGGGUGCUAACGUCCGUCGUGAAGAGGGAAACAACCCAGACCGCCAGCUAAGGUCCCAAAGUCAUGGUUAAGUGGGAAACGAUGUGGGAAGGCCCAGACAGCCAGGAUGUUGGCUUAGAAGCAGCCAUCAUUUAAAGAAAGCGUAAUAGCUCACUGGUCGAGUCGGCCUGCGCGGAAGAUGUAACGGGGCUAAACCAUGCACCGAAGCUGCGGCAGCGAACGUAUCACUUAAAGCGAUUCAGCGGGUUACGAUUGACGGAGCGAAGCGACGUCAAAGCGUAUACAAAGUCGAGUCGGUUUAAGGAUACGUUCGUUGGGUAGGGGAGCGUUCUGUAAGCCUGUGAAGGUGUGUCGUGAGGCAUGCUGGAGGUAUCAGAAGUGCGAAUGCUGACAUAAGUAACGAUAAAGCGGGUGAAAAGCCCGCUCGCCGGAAGACCAAGGGUUCCUGUCCAACGUUAAUCGGGGCAGGGUGAGUCGACCCCUAAGGCGAGGCCGAAAGGCGUAGUCGAUGGGAAACGGGUUAAUAUUCCCGUACUUGGUGUUACUGCGAAGGGGGGACGGAGAAGGCUAUGUUGGCCGGGCGACGGUUGUCCCGGUUUAAGCGUGUAGGUGUGUGUUCCAGGUAAAUCCGGUUCACUUUAACACUGAGGCGUGACGACGAGGCACUACGGUGCUGAAGCAACAAAUGCCCUGCUUCCAGGAAAAGCCUCUAAGCAUCAGGUAACAUCAAAUCGUACCCCAAACCGACACAGGUGGUCAGGUAGAGAAUACCAAGGCGCUUGAGAGAACUCGGGUGAAGGAACUAGGCAAAAUGGUGCCGUAACUUCGGGAGAAGGCACGCUGACACGUAGGUGAAGUGAUUUACUCAUGGAGCUGAAGUCAGUCGAAGAUACCAGCUGGCUGCAACUGUUUAUUAAAAACACAGCACUGUGCAAACACGAAAGUGGACGUAUACGGUGUGACGCCUGCCCGGUGCCGGAAGGUUAAUUGAUGGGGUCAGCGCAAGCGAAGCUCCUGAUCGAAGCCCCGGUAAACGGCGGCCGUAACUAUAACGGUCCUAAGGUAGCGAAAUUCCUUGUCGGGUAAGUUCCGACCUGCACGAAUGGCGUAAUGAUGGCCAGGCUGUCUCCACCCGAGACUCAGUGAAAUUGAACUCGCUGUGAAGAUGCAGUGUACCCGCGGCAAGACGGAAAGACCCCGUGAACCUUUACUAUAGCUUGACACUGAACAUUGAGCCUUGAUGUGUAGGAUAGGUGGGAGGCUUUGAAGUGUGGACGCCAGUCUGCAUGGAGCCGACCUUGAAAUACCACCCUUUAAUGUUUGAUGUUCUAACGUGGACCCGUAAUCCGGGUUGCGGACAGUGUCUGGUGGGUAGUUUGACUGGGGCGGUCUCCUCCUAAAGAGUAACGGAGGAGCACGAAGGUUGGCUAAUCCUGGUCGGACAUCAGGAGGUUAGUGCAAUGGCAUAAGCCAGCUUGACUGCGAGCGUGACGGCGCGAGCAGGUGCGAAAGCAGGUCAUAGUGAUCCGGUGGUUCUGAAUGGAAGGGCCAUCGCUCAACGGAUAAAAGGUACUCCGGGGAUAACAGGCUGAUACCGCCCAAGAGUUCAUAUCGACGGCGGUGUUUGGCACCUCGAUGUCGGCUCAUCACAUCCUGGGGCUGAAGUAGGUCCCAAGGGUAUGGCUGUUCGCCAUUUAAAGUGGUACGCGAGCUGGGUUUAGAACGUCGUGAGACAGUUCGGUCCCUAUCUGCCGUGGGCGCUGGAGAACUGAGGGGGGCUGCUCCUAGUACGAGAGGACCGGAGUGGACGCAUCACUGGUGUUCGGGUUGUCAUGCCAAUGGCACUGCCCGGUAGCUAAAUGCGGAAGAGAUAAGUGCUGAAAGCAUCUAAGCACGAAACUUGCCCCGAGAUGAGUUCUCCCUGAGACUUAGAGUCUCCUGAAGGAACGUUGAAGACGACGACGUUGAUAGGCCGGGUGUGUAAGCGCAGCGAUGCGUUGAGCUAACCGGUACUAAUGAACCGUGAGGCUUAACCUU
This 2989-nucleotide ribosomal RNA is filed under the name Salmonella enterica. RNAcentral's name for it is "23S ribosomal RNA". It matches the Rfam family "Bacterial large subunit ribosomal RNA". RNAcentral also lists the same sequence under 2 other names. The record is from RNAcentral. Lineage: Bacteria; Pseudomonadati; Pseudomonadota; Gammaproteobacteria; Enterobacterales; Enterobacteriaceae.